This 406-nucleotide ribosomal RNA is filed under the name uncultured bacterium. Its description in RNAcentral is "partial 16S ribosomal RNA". It matches the Rfam family "Bacterial small subunit ribosomal RNA", at positions 28 to 526 of the family's 1533-position model. The record is from RNAcentral.
GACGAACGCUGGCGGCGUGCCUAAUACAUGCAAGUCGAACGAGUGGCGGACGGGUGAGUAAUGUCUGGGAAACUGCCUGAUGGAGGGGGAUAACUACUGGAAACGGUAGCUAAUACCGCAUACCAUCAGAUGUGCCAAGAUGGGAUUAGCUUUUUGGUGGGGUAACGGCUCACCAAGGCGACGAGCCCUAGCUGGUCUGAGAGGAUGACCAGCCACACGGGAACGGAGACACGGGCCAGACUCCUACGUGAGGCAGCAGUGGGGGAUAUUGCACAAUGGGCGAAAGCCUGAUGCAGCCAUGCCGCUUGUAGGAAGAAGGCCUUCGGGUUGUAAAGUACUUUCAGCGGGGAGGCGUUACCCGCAGAAGAAGCACCGGCUAACUCCGUGCCAGCAGCCGCGGUAAUAC